Molecule: microRNA precursor, 123 nt
Filed under: Asparagus officinalis (garden asparagus)
Lineage: Eukaryota; Viridiplantae; Streptophyta; Magnoliopsida; Asparagales; Asparagaceae
Description: miR2275c stem-loop (aof-MIR2275c)
Source: miRBase by way of RNAcentral
UGCAAUUUUGUUUGAUUUCCUCCAAUAUCUCACUUUCAACUGCUCAAUUGUUCCAUUAUCAAGAACUCAUAUUAUGCGCGAUGGUAUUGAAUGUGAGAAUUGGGGGAAAGUGAAGCUAUGCAU